UCAAGUUAUUAAGGGUGCAGGGCGGAUGCCUUGGCACUAGGAGCCGAUGAAGGACGUGAUAAGCUGCGAUAAGCUUCGGGGAGUUGCACGUAAACUUUGAUCCGAAGAUUUCCGAAUGAGGAAACUCACUUAGAGUAAUGUCUAAGUAUCAUUAAGUGAAUACAUAGCUUAAUGAGGGGAACUCAGGGAACUGAAACAUCUAAGUACCUGAAGGAAGAGAAAGAAAUUCGAUUCCGUAAGUAGCGGCGAGCGAACGCGGAUUAGCCCAAACCAAUAAAGUUUUCUUUAUUGGGGUUGCGGACAUAUCAUAACGAAGAGGUAUCGUAAUUGAAGAGGUUUGGAAAGACCCACCACAGAAGGUAAUAGUCCUGUAUGUUAAACGAGAAGACUUUAGAUAUGAUCCAGAGUACCACGGGACACGUGAAACCCUGUGGGAAGCAGGAGGGACCACCCUCCAAGGCUAAAUACUACCUAGUGACCGAUAGCGUAUAGUACCGUGAGGGAAAGGUGAAAAGAACCCCGGGAGGGGAGUGAAAUAGAACCUGAAACCCUGCACUUACAAGCUGUGGAAGCACAUUUCUUGUGUGACCGCGUACUUUUUGUAGAACGGGCCAACGAGUUACGUUAAGUAGCAAGGUUAAGCACUUAAGGUGCGGAGCCGUAGCGAAAGCGAGUUUUAACUGAGCGUUCAGUUACUUGACGUAGACCCGAAACCGGGCGACCUACCCAUGAGCAGGAUGAAGCGAAAGUAAAAUUUCGUGGAGGUCCGAACCCACGAGCGUUGAAAAGCUCGGGGAUGACUUGUGGGUAGCGGUGAAAUUCCAAUCGAGCCCGGAGAUAGCUGGUUCUCCCCGAAAUAGCUUUAGGGCUAGCCUCAAGGUGAGAGAUACGGAGGUAGAGCACUGAAUGUCCUAGGGGGUAUUGCACCUACCGAAGACUAUCAAACUCCGAAUGCCGUCAUCUUAUACUUGGGAGUCAGACUGUGGGUGAUAAGAUUCAUAGUCGAAAGGGCAACAGCCCAGAUCGUCAGCUAAGGUCCCUAAAUGUAAGUUAAGUGGUAAAGGAUGUGGGAUUGCACAGACAACCAGGAUGUUGGCUUAGAAGCAGCCACUCAUUCAAAGAGUGCGUAAUAGCUCACUGGUCGAGUGAUCCUGCGCCGAAGAUUUCCGGGGCUAAAACUUACUACCGAAGCUACGGCAUCAGUAAUGAUGGGUAGGGGAGCUUCCCAUACGGGUUGAAGCAUGACCGUAAGGACAUGUGGACAGUAUGGGAGUGAGAAUGUUGGCAUGAGUAGCGAGAUGUGGGUGAGAAUCCCACAGGCCGUAAACCCAAGGUUUCCAGGGGAAGGUUCGUCCGCCCUGGGUUAGUCGGGACCUAAGCUGAGGCCGAAAGGCGUAGGUGAUGGACAACAGGUUGAUAUUCCUGUACUACCGAUAACCGUUUGAGAGAAGGGAUGACACAGUAGGAUAAGCUAAGCACACUGUUGGUUAUGUGUGCCCAAGCAUUGAGGCAGUCAAAGUAGGCAAAUCCGCUUUGAUAAUGCUAGGAUGUGAUGGGGAGCGAAAUUUAGUAGCGAAGUAGCUGAUUUCACACUGUCAAGAAAAGUCUCUAUCGAGGUUAAAGGUACCCGUACCGCAAACCGACACAGGUGGGUGAGGAGAGUAUCCUAAGGCCAGCGAGAGAACUGUUGUUAAGGAACUCGGCAAAAUGACCCCGUAACUUAGGGAUAAGGGGUGCCACCAUCAGGUGGCCGCAGAGAAUAGGCCCAAGCGACUGUUUACCAAAAACAUAGGUUUCUGCUAAGUCGCAAGACGAUGUAUAGGAGCUGACGCCUGCCCGGUGCUGGAAGGUUAAGGGGAUCUGUUAGAGCAAUCGAAGCAGUGAACUUAAGCCCCAGUAAACGGCGGCCGUAACUAUAACGGUCCUAAGGUAGCGAAAUUCCUUGUCGGGUAAGUUCCGACCCGCACGAAAGGCGUAACGAUUUGGGCACUGUCUCAACAACAGACUCGGUGAAAUUGUAAUUCCGGUGAAGAUGCCGGAUACCUGCGACAGGACGGAAAGACCCCAUGGAGCUUUACUGUAGCUUGACAUUGGGUCUUGGUACUACAUGUACAGGAUAGGUGGGAGGCUUUGAAACCAGGACGCCAGUUUUGGCGGAGCCAUCCUUGGGAUACCACCCUUGUAGUACUGGGACUCUAACCAUAGGCCAUGAAUCUGGUCUUGGGACACUGUCAGGUGGGCAGUUUGACUGGGGCGGUCGCCUCCCAAAAGGUAACGGAGGCGCUCAAAGGUUCUCUCAGUACGGUCGGAAAUCGUACGUAGAGUGUAAAGGCAAAAGAGAGCUUGAUUGCAAGACAUACAGGUCGAGCAAGGAUGAAAAUCGGACUUAGUGAUCCGGUGGUUCUGCGUGGAAGGGCCAUCGCUCAACGGAUAAAAGCUACCCUGGGGAUAACAGGCUUAUCUCCCCCAAGAGUCCACAUCGACGGGGAGGUUUGGCACCUCGAUGUCGGCUCAUCACAUCCUGGGGCUGUAGUAGGUCCCAAGGGUUGGGCUGUUCGCCCAUUAAAGUGGUACGCGAGCUGGGUUCAGAACGUCGUGAGACAGUUCGGUCCCUAUCCGUCGCAGGCGUAGGAAAUUUGAGAAGACCUGUCCUUAGUACGAGAGGACCGGGAUGGACGUACCUCUGGUGUACCAGUUGUCCUGCCAAGGGCAUGGCUGGGUAGCUAUGUACGGAAUGGAUAAGCGCUGAAAGCAUCUAAGCGCGAAGCCAACUUCAAGAUAAGAUUUCCCACCGCAAGGGUAAGACCCCAGAAAGACUAUCUGGUUGAUAGGUCGAAGGUGUAAGUGCAGCAAUGUAUUUAGCUUAUCGAUACUAAUAGGUCGAGGACUUGACCAA
Molecule: ribosomal RNA, 2896 nt
Filed under: Clostridioides difficile
Lineage: Bacteria; Bacillati; Bacillota; Clostridia; Peptostreptococcales; Peptostreptococcaceae
Description: bacterial LSU rRNA
Rfam family: Bacterial large subunit ribosomal RNA
Source: RNAcentral